GGUCAAGCGAUGAAGCGCAUACGGUGGAUGCCUAGGCAGCCAGAGGCGAUGAAAGACGUGGAAGCCUGCGAUAAGGCUCGGCGAGGUGGCAAACAACCUGUGACCCGGGCAUUUCUGAAUGGGGAAACCCACCCACGGUAACGUGGGUAUCCCACACUGAAUCCAUAGGUGUUGGGAGGCGAACCGGGGGAACUGAAACAUCUCAGUACCCCGAGGAAAAGAAAUCAACCGAGAUUCCCC
This 240-nucleotide ribosomal RNA is filed under the name Halomonas gemina. RNAcentral describes it as "partial 23S ribosomal RNA". It matches the Rfam family "Bacterial large subunit ribosomal RNA", at positions 1 to 240 of the family's 2925-position model. Lineage: Bacteria; Pseudomonadati; Pseudomonadota; Gammaproteobacteria; Oceanospirillales; Halomonadaceae. The record is from RNAcentral.